AGGGUUAAAAAUCUUGUGAGAAUCUUUGGGCUUAAUUGGUUUUGCUUCUGAUUUGAAAGAAGUCUUUUGUUGUUGUGUGUGAGCUUGUUGAAGCUCAUAGUUUAUAUUUUGUGGACAAAAGGAUAUCCUUAUCCUACAAAAGGGAUGGUUAGCAAAUCGGAACGGCAGCAAACCUACGGCAAGAAAAACAGAAAUCUAGCAGCAACAACAGGAGGAUCUGGCUCGUCUCCAACGACUGACGCUCCAACCAGCGUCCAACGACUUCACGGAUGGUCGACGCGUGGAGGCAAGCAAUCCAACGGCUCCGGCUCCGGCUCCGGCUCCGGCUCCGGCUCGUGAACGACUUCGACGACUGGAGACGGUGGUUUUUGAAUUCGACUCGUCCUCCCUCUUUCUCUCUUCACACCACAGUACCGCCCCCCCUCUCAACUACUCUGGACUCAGGUGGUUAACGGAGGAGAAGCAGUCCAAGCCGUUGUUCUACCGUCGUUUAGCGAGUGAGACAAGGAUCCGGUUCUGCUCGUCUGAAGCUGUCGUUCAAGGCUUAAGCAGAUUUUCGAACUCCCGUGGAAACCCUACCGUCGUUCAGCGAGGGAUUGAAAUCAAACAUUGAGACUCUGUUUCUCUCUCUCUCUGUUCGGCAGGAUCAUUGAGCAGUGUUUAAGAUCGCAGAGCUUUCAGAGGGGUUGUAGUCGGGUAGCUUCAGGAUCGCAGAGCUGCAUAUCAAGGUUUCUCUCAUGGGAUUGAGUAAAACUGAAAUUAACUUGAGGAGGUUGCUUGCUGCGGCACCUCAUCAACAGAAUCAAGCAAAACUCAUACAUGUGACAGUACCAUGUCUGAAAGGAAGCUUCACUGAAGCUUGGUCUCCAAUCGAAUGACCCUGAGAUUUGGGUGGACUGAAGGACCCUCUUAGGCGAUCAGAACCCUGGGGUUUCUCCCCUCAAACCAUCCUCUGUAUGAACAAAUCAACCGAUUGCAGGUUCUGGUUUUCCCUAAUACCGCCAGGUCUGAAUAGCAGGGGUUACUGUACCUCUUUGCUUGCUGUUUGGGGUCUUCUCCUAUUGGAAUCACGAGAUCAGAAGAUAUCCAAGCUUCGACUACAAAUUUUGGGCUGAAACAGUGGACCUGGAAGGGCCUCUCACUACCGCCAACUUUCCCUCUUGCUGCUGUGUUAUUGCUUGUGCCGUGAGGUUGAAGACAACCUCAUAAAUUAGGUUUUACAUCCUUACUUAAUCAAAUUCCAGAUUUACCUCUUAUCUUCUCAUUUAACUUAUUUUACUUCUUAGUUCCAAUUCUACCCCUCCCUCAUCACAUAUUAUUCCUUGUUUGCCAUUUACUAGCUUGGUGACUUAUAAUUACAAUUCUGCCACUCUUUAUUAGAAACACCAAAUUAAUUC
Molecule: long non-coding RNA, 1397 nt
Organism: Macadamia integrifolia
Lineage: Eukaryota; Viridiplantae; Streptophyta; Magnoliopsida; Proteales; Proteaceae
Exons: 4
Source: RefSeq, a predicted model, not a curated record